GAUGAACGCUAGCGAUAGGCUUAACACAUGCAAGUCGAGGGGCAGCAUGGUCUUAGCUUGCUAAGACUGAUGGCGACCGGCGCACGGGUGCGUAACGCGUAUGCAACUUGCCUCACAGAGGGGGAUAACCCGUCGAAAGACGGACUAAUACCGCGUACACUCUAUUUUGGGCAUCCAAGGUAGAGGAAAUGAAAUUCGCUGUGAGAUAGGCAUGCGUCCCAUUAGCUAGUUGGUGAGGUAACGGCUCACCAAGGCGACGAUGGGUAGGGGAACUGAGAGGUUGAACCCCCACACUGGUACUGAGACACGGACCAGACUCCUACGGCAGGCAGCAGUGAGGAAUAUUGGUCAAUGGGCGAGAGCCUGAACCAGCCAAGUCGCGUGAAGGAUGACUGUCUUAUGGAUUGUAAACUUCUUUUGUAGGGGAAUAAAGAGGGGCACGUGUGCCCCAGUGAAUGUACCCUACGAAUAAGCAUCGGCUAACUCCGUG
This 490-nucleotide ribosomal RNA is filed under the name uncultured bacterium. RNAcentral's name for it is "partial 16S ribosomal RNA". It matches the Rfam family "Bacterial small subunit ribosomal RNA", at positions 28 to 507 of the family's 1533-position model. The record is from RNAcentral.